CCACGCUGCCAAGAAAAGCGUCUAGAGAGAGAAGUAGUGCCCGUACCGCAAACCGACACAGGUAGGUGAGGAGAGAAUCCUAAGGCCGGCGGAAGAAUUACAGUUAAGGAACUCGGCAAAUUGACCCCGUAAGUUCGCGAGAAGGGGUGCCUACGAGAGUAGGCCGCAGAGAAUAGGCCCAAGCAACUGUUUAGCAAAAACACAGGUCUCUGCUAAAGCGUAAGCUGAUGUAUAGGGGCUGACGCCUGCCCGGUGCUGGAAGGUUAAGGGGAACACUUAGCGCAAGCGAAGGUGUGAACUUAAGCCCCAGUAAACGGCGGCCGUAACUAUAACGGUCCUAAGGUAGCGAAAUUCCUUGUCAGGUAAGUUCUGACCCGCACGAAUGGCGUAAUGACUUGGGCACUGUCUCAACUGUAAAUCCGGCGAAGUUGUAGUGCGAGUGAAGAUGCUCGCUACCCGCGAUUGGACGGAAAGACCCCGUAGAGCUUUACUGUAGCUUAGCAUUGAGUUUUGGUAUUGUCUGUACAGGAUAGGUGG
RNAcentral lists this ribosomal RNA (537 nucleotides) under Clostridium perfringens. Its description in RNAcentral is "partial 23S ribosomal RNA". It matches the Rfam family "Bacterial large subunit ribosomal RNA", at positions 1600 to 2150 of the family's 2925-position model. The record is from RNAcentral. Lineage: Bacteria; Bacillati; Bacillota; Clostridia; Eubacteriales; Clostridiaceae.